RNAcentral lists this ribosomal RNA (373 nucleotides) under uncultured organism. Its description in RNAcentral is "partial 16S ribosomal RNA". It matches the Rfam family "Bacterial small subunit ribosomal RNA", at positions 527 to 896 of the family's 1533-position model. The record is from RNAcentral.
GUAGGUGGCAAGCGUUGUCCGGAAUUAUUGGGCGUAAAGCGCGCGCAGGCGGUUCUUUAAGUCUGAUGUGAAAGCCCACGGCUCAACCGUGGAGGGUCAUUGGAAACUGGAGAACUUGAGUACAGAAGAGGAAAGCGGAAUUCCACGUGUAGCGGUGAAAUGCGUAGAGAUGUGGAGGAACACCAGUGGCGAAGGCGGCUUUCUGGUCUGUAACUGACGCUGAGGCGCGAAAGCGUGGGGAGCAAACAGGGAUUAGAUACCCUGGUAGUCCACGCCGUAAACGAUGAGUGCUAAGUGUUAGGGGGUUUCCGCCCCCUUGGUGCUGCAGCUAACGCAUUAAGCACUCCGCCUGGGGAGUACGGCCGCAAGGCUG